AGAACGAACGCUGGCGGCAUGCCUAAUACAUGCAAGUCGAACGAACUCUUCGGAGUUAGUGGCGUACGGGUGCGUAACGCGUGGGAAUCUGCCCCUUGGUUCGGAAUAACAGUUGGAAACGACUGCUAAUACCGGAUGAUGACGAAAGUCCAAAGAUUUAUCGCCAAGGGAUGAGCCCGCGUAGGAUUAGCUAGUUGGUGAGGUAAAGGCUCACCAAGGCAACGAUCCUUAGCUGGUCUGAGAGGAUGAUCAGCCACACUGGGACUGAGACACGGCCCAGACUCCUACGGGAGCAGCAGUAGGGAAUA
This 308-nucleotide ribosomal RNA is filed under the name uncultured soil bacterium. RNAcentral's name for it is "bacterial SSU rRNA". It matches the Rfam family "Bacterial small subunit ribosomal RNA", at positions 26 to 363 of the family's 1533-position model. The record is from RNAcentral.